RNAcentral lists this ribosomal RNA (461 nucleotides) under Streptococcus sp. oral taxon 066. Its description in RNAcentral is "bacterial SSU rRNA". It matches the Rfam family "Bacterial small subunit ribosomal RNA", at positions 28 to 473 of the family's 1533-position model. The record is from RNAcentral. Lineage: Bacteria; Bacillati; Bacillota; Bacilli; Lactobacillales; Streptococcaceae.
GAUGAACGCUGGCGGCGUGCCUAAUACAUGCAAGUAGAACGCUGAAGCUUGGUGCUUGCACCGAGCGGAUGAGUUGCGAACGGGUGAGUAACGCGUAGGUAACCUGCCUGGUAGCGGGGGAUAACUAUUGGAAACGAUAGCUAAUACCGCAUAACAGUCGACAUUGCAUGAUGUUGAUUUGAAAGGGGCAAAUGCUCCACUACCAGAUGGACCUGCGUUGUAUUAGCUAGUUGGUGAGGUAACGGCUCACCAAGGCGACGAUACAUAGCCGACCUGAGAGGGUGAUCGGCCACACUGGGACUGAGACACGGCCCAGACUCCUACGGGAGGCAGCAGUAGGGAAUCUUCGGCAAUGGACGGAAGUCUGACCGAGCAACGCCGCGUGAGUGAAGAAGGUUUUCGGAUCGUAAAUGCUCUGUUGUAAGAGAAGAACGAAUGUGAUGAUGUGGAUUUAUUCACAC